RNAcentral lists this small RNA (74 nucleotides) under Methylobacterium sp. 4-46. Its description in RNAcentral is "Makes More Granules Regulator RNA (mmgR)". It matches the Rfam family "Makes More Granules Regulator RNA (mmgR)". From Rfam's summary of the family: SuhB later renamed mmgR (makes more granules regulator) was a putative non-coding RNA found multiple times in the Agrobacterium tumefaciens genome and related alpha-proteobacteria. Other non-coding RNAs uncovered in the same analysis include: speF, ybhL, metA, and serC. Lineage: Bacteria; Pseudomonadati; Pseudomonadota; Alphaproteobacteria; Hyphomicrobiales; Methylobacteriaceae. The record is from Rfam by way of RNAcentral.
UCUCGCAGCCCUCCUUGGGCGUUUCCUCCCUAGACUUCGGGCCGUUCGCGAGAGCGGCCUUUUUUUUGGCCCGC